AUUUGAAUUGAAGAUUUAUUGCGUGUGUUAUCUAUAGUGAGUGUGAUGCUAAGAUAGCAGCUGACAGUAUAUUUUUUAGGGAGUUUGGUAAACAUUAUAAUACCCUAUUUCCACAGCACCCAACACCUCGGUUUUUCCGUUCAGGUCGAAUGUUACGUUCGCCCCAUGUAAAAACCCAUAAGAAAAAAAGUCGGUUUUUCUACGUUCGCGAGCUACGUAGAAAUAGCGAACGCACUUUUUGGGUAAUUAUGCGAUAUUUUGAUCGAUAUGACAACGAAAAAGAGCUCACCACUAAACAAACAGCUGACAUUUAAGUGCGCCAAGGUAUGAAAUUAGAAAAAUAAAAUUUUAUUUUGCUUUUUAAAGCAAAUCUUUUUUGGAGUGGAGUGGAGUCCCUGCAGUUCUGGAGGUGUCGAUUGCCCUGGGUAAGUGCUUACCUCGCCGAUCACUACAUGGGUACUUACUAAAGUGACCCUAUAGUAAUCGAACGUCGAACCACCGAGUCGACUCGAGUUUGCGAUUGGCCCUAUAUAAGUGCUUACCUCGUCGAUCACUACAUGGGUACUUACUAGAUUAACCCUAUAGUAAUCGAACGUCGAACCACCUAGUUAAUAAAUAUAUGCGCAUUAAAGCAUAAGUACAAAAUAACGGCAAGCAUUGCUUUUGUUUUUGUUAUUUUGUGGAAAAAGCAUACACAAGAUUAAAGACAAAACUUCGAUUACGCUUUACAUCGCUGUUUGUUUACGCGUCUUUGUUUUAUUUUGUGCUACUCUUUUGCUCAAACGCAGCUGUGUUUGCUGGCUGACGAAAUUUUGCAAGCAUUUGAGUAGAGAAGUGCAAAGCGGAUCAAUCGAUCAAUUAUUAGAUAAUAAAAGUACGACAAGCAGUUAGAAUAAUGUAUAGUUUUACAGUGGAAAACUACAAUGUGGCUAAAGAAGUGGAAUUGGAAAUUAUGACAGAAAAUCUACGUUAUGGAAAUAAUGACAGGCGUUUGCAGCCCUAAAAAAAGAAGACAAUUUCUUUGGUGUUAUGAUCGAUUCAAUAACUGAGGACCAGUUGAGAAAGGCCUUGCAGCUCCAAAAAAAAAAACGAUAUUUUAAAACUCAAGGUGCCUUAAAGUAAUAAAAGUAUUAUUAUUAAAAUAAAGAAAAAAUAAAAUUAAACAAAAACUGAAAUUGUAAUUGUAAAUUUUUUUUUUAAUUUAUAAUGGCCGACUCCUCAAUGGGGUCCGAUGUAAGCACUUAUUUUACUGACCCUUCAAUGGGGUCCCAUGUAAGCACUUAUUUUACCGGCCGUUCCAUGGGGUCCCAUGUAAGCACUUAUUUUACCGGCCGUUCCAUGGGGUCUAAUGUAAGCACUUAUUUUACUGACCCUAAUAUGUUGCACUAUUUCACUAGUUCGUGGUAAUCGAGGCGGUGGCGAUUGACCCUAUUUGCGGACAUUUCAUACAAAAACGGAAAUUAAGAAACGCAUGGCUAGACGCCACUUUGUAAGUAGUGAGUGGCUCCUGGUAAGCGCUUAUUUCACCAGCAACGAACUAGCGCUCAGAACUGGCAUCCACGAGGCUUUGUUGUUCGAGUUAUGGGAGGAGAAAUGUAGUGUAUUUUUUGGCCAAUCCACAAGGAUGCCAAACUCCACCCUAUUAAAUUGAAAAUUAUCUUUAAAAAAAAAUUCGCUGUUUCCAGAAAUAUCGCGCUCCCAAAAACACCCAUGCCGUUGCUAAAAAGUAAAUGUAUUUAUGUAAAUAUUACAUUGCUGCCAGCAAUUCUACUUACAUAGGCCCAAACUUCCUACACUUUGUUAAAAUCCUCAUCAAAAUCUUGCAAUUUACUCGUGUUUACAUUUAAACAGCAGAGCGGACAUAUUGAGAAAUUUACCGUUGCCCAUAUUUUUCGGUUCGUGCCAAUGGAAACCCCAAAACGGGACUUUGAAAAACUUAAAAAAUAACUGAGUGCAGUGGAAAUAGUCUAUUAGUGGCAGUUGGAAUUAUGUGCGUCAAGAUAGCUCCGUAACUUUAGCGUCACAUAUAAACUUUUUAUUUUCGUCUUUUUACGUGAUAUUUAAUCUUAAAUUAAAAAAGUUUAAAUGCAAAACAAUAGAAAAUUAAAUUAUCUUUCUAUUAAAUCCAUGUUCGUCAAAUUGCAUGCAGUAUUUAUGCACUAAAAUCGUGAAUGAAAAAUUGGGGUUGCAACAUUUUUGCCAAUAUCUCGGCUUUGACGAGUUGUCUACCAAAUCGGCUUAUGACAAGUUAUAGAGUAUUGUUUUAUAAAUAUACCCUCAAAAAAUCACAAAUUUAUUCUAGGUUGUUUUUGAGAUAUUUCAGGAAAAGUACGAUAACCUCAGCUCCAGCCCCAUACAAAAUGAGCACAAAAAAUCAAUGUUGCCGAUUUCAGACGGUAAUGUCCCGCCAGUCAGAAGCAACUGAUGGUGAUCUUUAUUGUUCUAUUACUCUUAUAGCAACUUUAACAAUAUUUAGGCCUUAGGGAUAAUGUUUACAGGUACAUGUUGCCUGCUGGAAUUGACUUUACGUUAACAUUUAGUUUAAGCUAGAUAAAUGUUGUCCGUUACGUUGCUAGGGUUAAGGAAUAAUGUUCCUAAGCAAGUUUUAGUUUUAGAGUAAUUGCUGUUUCUUAUAGGCUAGGUUUAGGUACAAUUGGAUCUUAUGAAGCUACAGUUUUGAUUUAAAUAUUGGACACGAGUAUCAAAUUUAGAUUAGGCGUUAAGGUGGGUUUAAUAAGACUUAGUAAUUUAUAAUUAAUCUAAAUUUAGUGUUACAAUUUUAUUACUGUUAUUUUUCUCUCUUUUUUAUUUUUAUAUUUAUGUACAUGUUUAAUAGCCUAUUUCCACCUCACUCAGUUUUUCUACGUUUUUUAAAGUUCCGUUUCGGGGUUUCCAUCUGCACGAACCGAAAAAUAUGGGCAACGGUAAAUUUCUCAAUAUGGCCGCUCUGAAAUAUCAGCUGUUCAAAUGUAAACACGAGUUGGCGAACAUUUCAAAAAUCAGCAAGCGCAUUUGAAAAUGGACAAUUUUCUUAAUUUACAAGAUAUUGAUGAGGAUUUUGACGAAAUGGUUGAUAAAUUAACCGAGUAUAGGCCAUUGCCACUAUUGAAGAAAUCGCCAUCAGUUUGGGCCUAUGUAAGUAGAAUUGCUGGCAGCAAUGUAAUAUUUACAUAAAUAUUUUUAUUUUUUAGGAACGGCAUGGGUGUUUUUGGGAGCGCGAUGUUCCUAGAAACAACGAAUCAUUUUUUGAAGAUAAUUUUCGAAUUAAUUGGGAGGAAUUUGGCACCCUUGUGGAGCGCCUUUGUGGAUUGGCCAAAAAAGGCACUACAUUUCUCCUCCCAUAACUCGAACAACAUAGCCUCGUGGAUGCCCCUCCACGAUAUUGACGGCUUGCGAGUUUUUUGGCUCAUCUAAAAUAUAAACAAUUUGCUUUAAAAAGAAAAAUAAAAUUUUAUUUUUCUAAUUUCAUACCUUGGCGCACUUAAAUGUCAGCUGUUUGUUUAGUGGUGAGCUCUUUUUCGUUGUCAUAUCGAUCAAAAUAUCGCAUAAUUACCCAAAAAAUGCGUUCGCUAUUUCUACGUAGCUCGCGAACGUAGAAAAACCGACUUUUUUUUCUUAUGGGUUUUUACAUGGGGCGAACGUAACAUUCGGCCUGAACGUGAAAAAACCAAAGAAAACCGUGCGGUGGAAAUAGGCUAUAAAUGUUGUCCGUUACGUUGCUAGGGAUAAGAAGCAAUGUUCCUAAACAAUAUAGUUUUAGAGUAAUUGGUGCUUCUUGUAAGCUCGGUUUAGGUACAAUUGGAUCUUAUAUAGCUACAGUUUAGAUUUAAGUAUUGGACAGAUCAGAUUUAGAUUAGGCAUUAAAGUGUGUUUGACUAGACUUAGUAAUAUAUAAUUAAUCUAAAUUUAGUUUUACAAGUUUUAUUAUAAUUUUUUUUUCUCUCUUUUUUUUAUUUUUAUAUUUAUGUACAUGUUUAAUAUGUCUUACAUUUUUAGUUCUAAUAAAAAUAUUGCAACUCUGCCGCUAACUUUUGUCAGUGUAAUUAAUUCUGUGGGCAAUUUGACAGUUAAAUAGUAUGGUAAACGAGACUGCAUGUGUAGUCAGUGUUAGGGUGGGGGGAUAUAAUUUAAUUUGAUUUAUUUAAAUUUGCGCGUUAAAGUUAUCGAUAGAAAGUGUGCCGAAGUUAAAUGGUGUAAAGUUGUUUUAUUAUGUUGGUGGUAUGGGAGAAUAAAAGUGUGAUACAUUUGAUUUUGGUUUAUU
Molecule: long non-coding RNA, 4261 nt
Organism: Drosophila albomicans
Lineage: Eukaryota; Metazoa; Arthropoda; Insecta; Diptera; Drosophilidae
Exons: 3
Source: RefSeq, a predicted model, not a curated record